This 450-nucleotide ribosomal RNA is filed under the name Serratia marcescens. RNAcentral's name for it is "partial 23S ribosomal RNA". It matches the Rfam family "Bacterial large subunit ribosomal RNA", at positions 744 to 1192 of the family's 2925-position model. Lineage: Bacteria; Pseudomonadati; Pseudomonadota; Gammaproteobacteria; Enterobacterales; Yersiniaceae. The record is from RNAcentral.
GUUGAAGGUUGGGUAACACUAACUGGAGGACCGAACCGACUAAUGUUGAAAAAUUAGCGGAUGACUUGUGGCUGGGGGUGAAAGGCCAAUCAAACCGGGAGAUAGCUGGUUCUCCCCGAAAGCUAUUUAGGUAGCGCCUCGUGAACUCAUCUUCGGGGGUAGAGCACUGUUUCGGCUAGGGGGCCAUCCCGGCUUACCAAACCGAUGCAAACUCCGAAUACCGAAGAAUGUUAUCACGGGAGACACACGGCGGGUGCUAACGUCCGUCGUGAAGAGGGAAACAACCCAGACCGCCAGCUAAGGUCCCAAAGUCAUGGUUAAGUGGGAAACGAUGUGGGAAGGCAUAGACAGCCAGGAUGUUGGCUUAGAAGCAGCCAUCAUUUAAAGAAAGCGUAAUAGCUCACUGGUCGAGUCGGCCUGCGCGGAAGAUGUAACGGGGCUAAACCAUGC